GAACCUGCGGAAGGAUCAUAGUAAUCGUCU
RNAcentral lists this ribosomal RNA (30 nucleotides) under Tulasnella calospora. RNAcentral's name for it is "partial 18S ribosomal RNA". The record is from RNAcentral. RNAcentral also lists the same sequence under 1 other name. Lineage: Eukaryota; Fungi; Basidiomycota; Agaricomycetes; Cantharellales; Tulasnellaceae.